UUGGUCAUGGGCGACGAUGAGUCCGUGGACACGUUCGCUUCACAGGUGGCUACUUUCGUCAAUCAGAUCCGUGCGCUUGGAGAAAACCUCACGGAGGCCUCAGUUGUCCGGCGGUUCUUGCGCGCAGCCCCUCCCCGGUACCUGCAAAUUGUCACGGCGAUCGAGCAGUGCGUCGAUCUCGCGACUCUCUCCAUCGACGAUCUUGUCGGACGGUACAAGGCUCACGAUGAGCGGAUGCGGUACAGUCUUGGGGACGGGAGAAACGACGAGAUUGUGAUGCUCACAAGGGCGCAGUGGGUCGCUUUGUCAAAAGAAAAGAAAGGCGGAUCCACGAGCAGCAGCAAGAAGAAGGGGAAGCAGCGUUCGGUGAGAAAGAACUUCGCCGACUCGGACGACGACUCAGACGAUGAGGCUGCACCACCAUCGAGGAGAAAGUUCGACAUCAGAAAAGUGAGAUGUUAUAACUGUGGCCUCCUCGGCCACUUCAAGGCUGACUGCGAGGAAGCACCGAAGCAGAAGGCGCUCAUGGUCCAGCAAGAAGAUAAUGGUGACAUGAUGUUGCUGUGUGAACUUGUGGACAAGGAGGAUCCAAUUCUUCAAGUGUCGGCUAAAGAAAUUGUCGCGCUCCGUGAAGAAAAAGUUCGCUCUCAAGAUCAUGGUUCAGAAACUCGUGUCGAUGCUACGGACGCGGGGGGUGAUUCUGAAACCUACAUCGAUGUUACGGGCAUAAGUGCUAAUUUCGCUGGAGUGGAUGCAGCAAUUGCUGCGUGUGCUCGGCCCUGGAGUAGUAGUUUUUGUGUGAUGCGUCCAAAGAAAACGAAGGCGUACAUGGCGUCAGAAGUCCAUGAAGAAACAGAAACUGUUGUUGAUGCUAGCGCAAAAGUGAAGACGAGUGCAGCAGCUACGAACGAACUGGAAGUUGCUGGUGUAUCGAAUGCAAGCGCA
This 945-nucleotide ribosomal RNA is filed under the name Triticum aestivum (bread wheat). Its description in RNAcentral is "partial small subunit ribosomal RNA". Lineage: Eukaryota; Viridiplantae; Streptophyta; Magnoliopsida; Poales; Poaceae. The record is from RNAcentral.